This 2331-nucleotide unclassified non-coding RNA is filed under the name Anthonomus grandis grandis. RNAcentral describes it as "calcium-independent phospholipase A2-gamma-like". The record is from RNAcentral. Lineage: Eukaryota; Metazoa; Arthropoda; Insecta; Coleoptera; Curculionidae.
GAUGACACCCCACCCACACUCACUAUCUGAUCCCUAUUGGUCAAGUAGAAAGCCAACAGUUUGAUGCUAUUAAACCCAUACUUAGUUUCCUCAAGAGUACAUUAUGGAGAACACAAUCAAAUGCCUUACUCAGCAGAACAGUACUUCUACCCUUACUUGUUCUAGAUUGAAUAGAAAUAUUUUAGUAGGAUGUUUCAGGAUAUUAUCUAUUUUAAACCCUAUUCCUACAUUCUAGGUACUAAAACUCACUCUUACCUAAAAAUGUCAUACAGCUCCUGGAAGUUCCUCAACCAUUUAAAAGACUUACUCUCAAAAUAUGCAUCUGACAAAUCACCCCAUCAAGUAGAUUUCUUCCAAAUAUUGAAUAAGACACCACCAUCCUAUGAUAUUGGAGAGUAUGUAAAAUCAGCCGAGAAAAGGAUAUCUGCCAUGCAGCAAUCUGUGCAAAACCUUUAUAAUGCUGCUGUUGAAUCCCCUACUGGGUCUGACAAAAACAAGCAGAAGAAAAAUAGUUUGGUGGAAAAAGAUUGGAAGAAUAUAAAGAGAAUUUCACAGUCAGAGAGAUCCUUAGACAUAUCUAACAUCUCAGGUAUUUUAAGCAGGAUUCAGCAAGCUUCUACUGAAGAAGAAAUCCUAAGGGUUGUUGAAUAUCUUAUAGCUCAUUUAAAAGAACACCCUAAUGUAAGAAAUAAUGCCAUUCAGAAAGGAGCCAUAAGAAUUCUCCUUAAUAAACAUAAGAAAGCCUUAAGUCAGACAGCCAAGGGAGCAAUGAGGGAAGCUCUUACAAUCUUAGGUUACCACAAUCCAGUGGCUGGAAGAGGUAUUCGGAUUUUAUCAAUAGAUGGCGGGGGUAUUCGCGGAGUAUUGGUACUUGAAAUGCUUAAAAAACUCGAGGAGCUCACUGGUAAAAGAACUUAUGAAUUAUUCGAUUUCUUUUGUGGAGUUAGUACUGGAGCAAUUUUAACUUAUUCCAUGGGUAUCCAUUUAAGGAAACUUGAGGACAUUAUUACCAGGUACGAGAACUUGAGUCAAGAAAUUUUCAAUCAGUCUCGCUUUUUGGGAACGGGAAAACUGAUGUGGAGUCACGCCUAUUACGAUACCGCCUUAUGGGAGAAAAAAUUGGAGGAAUAUUUAGGAAACGAAUCGCUUAUUUCUACUUCGAGAAAUUCUCAGUGUCCCAAGAUUUGCGUGGUAUCCGCGGUGGUUAACCAGUCUCAAGUUUCAGCUUAUGCUUUUCGAAAUUACGCCUUGCCAUGGAGAUUUCAAUCGGAGUAUGACGGCACUUAUGACGCGAAAGUAUGGCAGGCUGCCCGAGCAUCUGCUGCAGCCCCAACUUAUUUUGAGGAGUUUAGAAUCGGGGACCAUAUACAUCAGGAUGGUGCCAUCUUAGUAAAUAAUCCAACAGCUAUAGCGAUUCACGAGGCGAAAUUAAUAUGGCCAAACACUCCGAUACAAUGUGUAGUUUCCUUCGGCACUGGCCGUUCCAUACCCAGUCCAGCCGAAUUGGGAAAGCAAACAACGGUCGAUAAUACGGUUGGUAGCGAAGGCACUUCUUGGACCAAUAAGUUUUAUAAGAUAUUAGAUAGUGCCACUGAUACACAAGCUGUUCAUAUAAUGUUAAGCGACUUACUCCCAGACGAUGUGUAUUACCGUUUCAAUCCUUACCUCACAGAACUUAUUGGGAUAGUUGAAACAGAUAAAGAGAAACAGAGGCAGAUAAAACGAGACGCGCUGAUGUACCUUAGAAGGAACGAAGAUAAAUUUCAGCAAGCAGCUAAAACUUUGACUUUGAGUAAGAGUUAUGGACAAAAGUUUAGGGACAAAGUGAAUUAUCAAAGGGAGUUGUUAGGGGUUUAGUGUUGGUUUUACUAUACGCGUGGACGAAUUAAGAAUCAAAAGAAUUUCGCUUACUUGAUGACAUUUUUCGCGUGGGAUGAGAAUCACGUAAACAAUACCGUGUGAAAUUUUCGAAUACAUUGUCUUAAUUCUUAUUGUGUGCUUGCUAGUUUUCAUACAUUUCACGGAAAUGGAAAAGUCGAGCAAAGAGAGAAGAACCAAUACAGAACUGCUGAGAAAGAUGGAUUUCCUGAAUACAGUUAAAAUUCGAAAGCUCAAAUAUCUUGGACAUGUAAUCCGUAAUAAUAGCCAAUAUGUCCUUUUGCUGAAGAUCCUUCAAUUCGAAAAAGUUCGAAUAGUCAACAUGAUCCGAAGUGGAUAGGCACGGUAAGAAGGAGAUUUCUACAAGAACGAAUAUAGGUUUAAAAAAUCCAUUCACAAAUACAAUUAAAAUUUGUAUCGCAAUUGUGGUUGAAUAAAUUAUUUAAAAAAAUA